Molecule: ribosomal RNA, 490 nt
Filed under: uncultured bacterium
Lineage: Bacteria
Description: partial 16S ribosomal RNA
Rfam family: Bacterial small subunit ribosomal RNA
Source: RNAcentral
GUUGAACGCUGGCGGCAGGCCUAACACAUGCCAGUCGAACGGUAAGAGCAAGCAUUGUUCUGCUUUUCGAACGACGGGCGGACGGGUGAGAAGUGGCUGGGAUACUGCGCGAUUGAGGGUGAGAACGAGUGGAAAGGGUAGCUAAUGGCUCAGAACGUCGCAAGACUGGAGAGGGGGAACUUAGUUCCGCUUGGCAACGGACGUGCGCAGGUUGGGUUAGUUGGUGGGUGGGGUAACGACUGACCUGGGCGACGAUGCCUAGCUGGUCUGAGAGGAUGACCAGCCCCACUGGAACUGAGACACGGUCCAGACUCCUGAGGGAGGCCGCAGUCGGGAAUAUUGCACAAUGGGGGAAAAUCUGACGCAGCGCGGCCGCGUGUAGGAAGGAGGCCUUCGGGUUGUAAAGUACUUUCAGGGGGGAGGAAGCGAGUACAGUUAAUACAUUUGCUUAUUGACGUUACCCGCAGAAGAAGCACCGGCUAACUCCGUG